ACGUAGGGUGCGAGAGUUAAUCGGAAUUACUGGGCGUAAAGCGUGCGCAGGCGGAUAUGUAAGACAGAAGUGAAAUCCCCCGGCACAACCUGGGAAAUGCUUUAGUGACUGCAUAGCUGGAGUACGGCAGAGGGGGAUGGAAUUCCGCGUGUAGCAGUGAAAUGCGUAGAUAUGCGGAGGAACACCGAUGGCGAAGGCAAUCCCCUGGGCCUGUCCUGACGCUCAUGCACGAAAGCGUGGGGAGCAAACAG
This 251-nucleotide ribosomal RNA is filed under the name uncultured prokaryote. RNAcentral's name for it is "partial 16S rRNA". It matches the Rfam family "Bacterial small subunit ribosomal RNA", at positions 525 to 775 of the family's 1533-position model. The record is from RNAcentral.